GGAUAAAUGGCUUUGUUUUUUCCUUAGUGAUCCAGAAGUUAUGAGACUGUGAGCAUGGAUAUUCACCUUGUAUGUCAAUACCAUGUGUGUUUUAAAAUGAGCUCAAAGGGAAGAGAGAACUACAAAUUUCAGACUGGUCAGAAAAAACCAUCUACUUCUGUAACAGCUACUUGAUAUUCUCCUUGCAAAAUUUUGCCUUUCUGGCCUUGGCCCCAUCAUGCUUGUGAUUACGUGGGCUGGAAAUAAGGCAGCCUGGGCUUCCUAAAGUACAGGGGAAUGUGUGCAUGAGUCUGUUCGCUGUAUGUGCAGUGUUCCAAGUUCUUAUCCCUCUCCUUUUUGUUCUUGUCCCUAGUCACUGCCUCCAGGGUACCAGCUUUCCUUAGCCCCGCUCCCAUGGCAACAAGUCUCUGUUCCAGCAGUAGUGGCUCUGUCUCUUCAUCUCCUCCCUCUGCAGCUACGUUCUGCGCUUAGAAGUAGCUUGAGUUUCUGUGACUACUUUCUUUCCUUUAUUUAUCAGGACAUGUGUGCUUGUUCCAAAGCUCCUACUGUGCAUAUAUUGAUUCUGGGGAAGUUCUGUUUUUGCCUUUGUGUGAGUUGGGGUCCAGCUGUCUGGAAAGCAGCUCUGCAGAGAAAGACACCAGGAUUCUGGUGGCGGCAAGCUGAAGGAGAAUGAAGAAGAAUCAGAAUGAAAAGACAAAGGACAAUGAUAAAAAGUUGCAUCAGUCCUGCAAUGCAAUGAAAAAAUGUUGCUUGGUUCUCA
RNAcentral lists this long non-coding RNA (760 nucleotides) under Cyanistes caeruleus (blue tit). Its description in RNAcentral is "lncRNA (ENSCCEG00000015912.1)". The record is from RNAcentral. Lineage: Eukaryota; Metazoa; Chordata; Aves; Passeriformes; Paridae.